CAGAUGUGUGCCGCCACCGCACUCAGCUUCUUUACGCGUUGUUCGAGCCAUGGGAGAGUCAGCCCUUGAUGCUCACAUUUGCAAAGGUCUGUGGGAAGCGGGGUAGGGUGCGGUUAAGGAAAACAAUGAAGGCGAUGCCUCACAAAACCCAGAAAUGCCGGAGUCUGCGGAAGGGAAGAUGGCACUCGGCAGCCAGCUCUGGAGCGGGGUGUUGAAUCACUUACAUUCUAUCAAAGAGUUGCUGCACUGAUCAUCCAUCUCCUCAGUGUCCUCGUGGUUGUAUCUUUGAAGUUUAUUUUCUUAAACUCCUUGAAACUGCUCUGCUGGAUGAAGACUGGUGAGACCCUUAAGACAGCUGAGUACAGUGCGCAGCUGCCUUCCUGAAACAUCUCACAACUCAAGCAGCUGUGGACAGUAUGGACCUAACAUCCCUGCAAACUCUGGAUUUUUUAAAACAAUGUUUUUAUUCAUUUAAUGAGGCAGAGAGUGUCACAGUUACUUUUCUUGUUGCUGAAACAAAAUACAUGACACCCAGAGUUAAAGAAAGAAAGAUUAACUGUAGCUCACAGUUACAGCAGUUGCAGGUCACAGCUGGCAGGCUCCAAGGCAAGAGAGGCCUGGCUGAGGGCGUCUCAGCGGCGAGGCGACUCAUGGCAGGCAGAAGGCAGCAAGCAGCAAGCAACAGGUGACAGGUGGCCAGGGCAGCUGUCUUUCUGUCCCUUAUGUUCUCUGUCCAGGCUCCCUGCCCUUAGAGGGGUGGCACUGACAUCCAGAGCGGGUCUUCUCAUUACCACACUCAGACCUGUGCCAGACCAAUCAGUGGACUGGUUCGGUGAUCACACACCCUUGAUCCCAGCAUCACACGUGCCAGCUCCAGCCACCUCUGAAAAGCUCACCUGUGACCACGAGGCUCUGGGGCGAUGUCUAGACACAAGCCAUGAAGAUGGCUAUCCUGUUUUUACAUCUAACUGUGAGUGCUUGUGAAAUUAAGUGUGAGAGAAGAAAAUGUUAUCUUGUUUUUAUAUGUAAAUUUGGUUACUUGUGAAAUUAAAUAUGUCAUGUUUGUUAACCAUUUGGUUAUUUUUUAUUUUAAUUGUCUAUGUAGAUAUUUUGCCGAUUUCUUUUUUAAAUGUUGAAACAUUUGAUAUUUUAAAAUGCAUUUCAAAGGUGGAAAAUCUUUUUUUCUUUUAAGAAGAAGGCAUUCACUAUGGAAAUUUACACCAUAUGAGGAUGAAGAAACGUGUAAUAAAGAAAAAGUUCAACAGAA
Molecule: long non-coding RNA, 1267 nt
Organism: Cavia porcellus (domestic guinea pig)
Lineage: Eukaryota; Metazoa; Chordata; Mammalia; Rodentia; Caviidae
Exons: 3
Source: RefSeq, a predicted model, not a curated record